Molecule: ribosomal RNA, 253 nt
Filed under: uncultured bacterium
Lineage: Bacteria
Description: partial 16S ribosomal RNA
Rfam family: Bacterial small subunit ribosomal RNA
Source: RNAcentral
UACGUAGGGCGCAAGCGUUGUCCGGAAUUAUUGGGCGUAAAGAGCUCGUAGGCGGUUUGUCGCGUCUGCUGUGAAAACCUAAGGCUCAACCUUGGGCUUGCAGUGGGUACGGGCAGACUAGAGUGCGGUAGGGGUGACUGGAAUUCCUGGUGUAGCGGUGGAAUGCGCAGAUAUCAGGAGGAACACCGAUGGCGAAGGCGGCCCGCUGGGCUGUGGCUGACGCUGAGGCGCGACAGCGUGGGGAGCAAACAGG